Molecule: ribosomal RNA, 1372 nt
Filed under: uncultured bacterium
Lineage: Bacteria
Description: bacterial SSU rRNA
Rfam family: Bacterial small subunit ribosomal RNA
Source: RNAcentral
GAUGAACGCUGGCGGCGUGCCUAAUACAUGCAAGUCGAGCGAACGGACGAGAAGCUUGCUUCUCUGAUGUUAGCGGCGGACGGGUGAGUAACACGUGGAUAACCUACCUAUAAGACUGGGAUAACUUCGGGAAACCGGAGCUAAUACCGGAUAAUAUUUUGAACCGCAUGGUUCAAAAGUGAAAGACGGUCUUGCUGUCACUUAUAGAUGGAUCCGCGCUGCAUUAGCUAGUUGGUAAGGUAACGGCUUACCAAGGCAACGAUGCAUAGCCGACCUGAGAGGGUGAUCGGCCACACUGGAACUGAGACACGGUCCAGACUCCUACGGGAGGCAGCAGUAGGGAAUCUUCCGCAAUGGGCGAAAGCCUGACGGAGCAACGCCGCGUGAGUGAUGAAGGUCUUCGGAUCGUAAAACUCUGUUAUUAGGGAAGAACAUAUGUGUAAGUAACUGUGCACAUCUUGACGGUACCUAAUCAGAAAGCCACGGCUAACUACGUGCCAGCAGCCGCGGUAAUACGUAGGUGGCAAGCGUUAUCCGGAAUUAUUGGGCGUAAAGCGCGCGUAGGCGGUUUUUUAAGUCUGAUGUGAAAGCCCACGGCUCAACCGUGGAGGGUCAUUGGAAACUGGAAAACUUGAGUGCAGAAGAGGAAAGUGGAAUUCCAUGUGUAGCGGUGAAAUGCGCAGAGAUAUGGAGGAACACCAGUGGCGAAGGCGACUUUCUGGUCUGUAACUGACGCUGAUGUGCGAAAGCGUGGGGAUCAAACAGGAUUAGAUACCCUGGUAGUCCACGCCGUAAACGAUGAGUGCUAAGUGUUAGGGGGUUUCCGCCCCUUAGUGCUGCAGCUAACGCAUUAAGCACUCCGCCUGGGGAGUACGACCGCAAGGUUGAAACUCAAAGGAAUUGACGGGGACCCGCACAAGCGGUGGAGCAUGUGGUUUAAUUCGAAGCAACGCGAAGAACCUUACCAAAUCUUGACAUCCUUUGACAACUCUAGAGAUAGAGCUUUCCCCUUCGGGGGACAAAGUGACAGGUGGUGCAUGGUUGUCGUCAGCUCGUGUCGUGAGAUGUUGGGUUAAGUCCCGCAACGAGCGCAACCCUUAAGCUUAGUUGCCAUCAUUAAGUUGGGCACUCUAAGUUGACUGCCGGUGACAAACCGGAGGAAGGUGGGGAUGACGUCAAAUCAUCAUGCCCCUUAUGAUUUGAGCUACACACGUGCUACAAUGGACAAUACAAAGGGCAGCGAAACCGUGAGGUCAAGCAAAUCCCAUAAAGUUGUUCUCAGUUCGGAUUGUAGUCUGCAACUCGACUACAUGAAGCUGGAAUCGCUAGUAAUCGUAGAUCAGCAUGCUACGGUGAAUACGUUCCCGGGUCU